GAUGAACGCUGGCGGCGUGCCUAAUACAUGCAAGUCGAGCGAAUGGAUUAAGAGCUUGCUCUUAUGAAGUUAGCGGCGGACGGGUGAGUAACACGUGGGUAACCUGCCCAUAAGACUGGGAUAACUCCGGGAAACCGGGGCUAAUACCGGAUAACAUUUUGAACCGCAUGGUUCGAAAUUGAAAGGCGGCUUCGGCUGUCACUUAUGGAUGGACCCGCGUCGCAUUAGCUAGUUGGUGAGGUAACGGCUCACCAAGGCAACGAUGCGUAGCCGCCCUGAGAGGGGGAUCGGCCACACUGGGACUGGGAAACGGCCCAGACUCCUACGGGAGGCAGCAGUAGGGAAUCUUCCGCAAUGGACGAAAGUCUGACGGAGCAACGCCGCGUGAGUGAUGAAGGCUUUCGGGUCGUAAAACUCUGUUGUUAGGGAAGAACAAGUGCUAGUUGAAUAAGCUGGCACCUUGACGGUACCUAACCAGAAAGCCACGGCUAACUACGUGCCAGCAGCCGCCGUAA
This 515-nucleotide ribosomal RNA is filed under the name uncultured bacterium. Its description in RNAcentral is "partial 16S ribosomal RNA". It matches the Rfam family "Bacterial small subunit ribosomal RNA", at positions 28 to 523 of the family's 1533-position model. The record is from RNAcentral.